RNAcentral lists this ribosomal RNA (253 nucleotides) under uncultured bacterium. RNAcentral's name for it is "partial 16S ribosomal RNA". It matches the Rfam family "Bacterial small subunit ribosomal RNA", at positions 524 to 776 of the family's 1533-position model. The record is from RNAcentral.
UACGUAGGAGGCAAGCGUUAUCCGGAAUGACUGGGCGUAAAGGGUGCGUAGGUGGUUCGGCAAGUUAGUAGCGUAAUUCCGGGGCUCAACCUCGGAACUACUACUAAAACUGUUGGGCUUGAGUGCAGGAGGGGCAUAUGGAAUUCCUAGUGUAGCGGUGGAAUGCGUAGAUAUUAGGAAGAACACCAGUGGCGAAGGCGAUAUGCUGGACUGUAACUGACACUGAGGCACGAAAGCGUGGGGAGCAAACAGG